AUACUCAGCGCAUGCGCCAGAAGCCUACUGCGGCGAUCUCGGAGAAGCAGUCCUUUAACUUGCAUCAGCACUGCGGCUUAAGGCUACGCUGGUUCUCUUUCGCCAGUCCAGUUCUACCUUGGCCUGUGGAGCCACCCUAGACCCGCGGAAUCUGUGCCGCUGCUCCCUCUACCCUCUCUUCCGGCGGCCAGCACUAAGAAUUUGUGCUACGACGCUCGAUUCAGCCAGAAGGUGGCACCAAGUGUGAUCAGAAGCCAUGCCACUGGUGAAGAGGUAUAUUGAACCCUGCCUGGCCCAGUGAGGUUACUAGAGAAUUGGGAGAGGCUUAGAUCAAUGUCCUGCGCAUGGCUAUCUACUCAUUGUGAAGUCUUGAAAAUCACCUGGGAUGCCCGUUAAAAAUGCAGAUUCUUGGGCAGCCAGAACCUUGUCAUUGGUCAAGAGCAACACUAAGACCUACCUGUCACUUAUGUUGAGGCUUCUUGCCCAGUGGGUUCAUCAGCAAGCCAGAAUGAAUCGCCAUUGCCAUGGAUGUCCUUGUGAGGCAGUUGGGAAUUCUUGUCACAGAAGCUGCAAUGAAUUCUCUCAUGGCCCUGAAGUAUGGUUUGUUCCCAUGGAGAAGAACCUAACAGAAGAUUGAUAGCGUGGACAUUUCUGGCAUCAGGGAUGAGGUUUCAGGUGUACCAUACAGGGGUUCAGCAACUCCAUAUAUUUAUUACUCAGUGUUCAACUCAGUGUUCAUCAAGGAGACCUUUAGAAACAACUUGUCAAGUCCUCACCAUGACUACCAUUGGAAUUGCAGUUGGAAUGGCAUUGAAUGCGUAGAUUUAAUUUUUGGAGAGCUAUCGUCUUUAUAAUCUCCUCAUACAUGAAUGUGAAGUGCUUCCUCCAUCCUGCAAGCUUCUGGGAACUCAGUGCCCAUUGUGUACAGGAUAUGUACCCAUUGAAGACCUUCAUGCCCUCCAAUAUAAGGCUAACUGUGUUCUCACUACAGAAGUUUAGAAUCAGAGAGUUUCUUCUCUCUGCUGCCUUUUGAGCUGCGGCACUAUGCUGGGAGAUGGGACUAUGGAGACGAAUUUAGGCACAGUCCCUGCCCUCAGGUGUUCUCAGUCUAGUGAGAGGGUUCGACGUGUACACAGAUAAUUACAACAGUAUGGUAUGCUCUACAAUAGAGGUUGGGAAGCCAGAUGAAGUUUGUCCAUGCCCUGAUCACUAAUCUAUUGCCUUUGCUCUUAUUUCCAAAUAGAAACCUGUUGAAAAGUUGUGUUACAUCUGAAUAAAGGUUACUCUAAAAAUGUAGAAAAAAUGCUUUGGAGUUGGUCAAAACUGGACUUGAAACCUGACUCAACUGCUUACUAGCUGUGUGAUCUAAGGCAUGUUUAUUACUUAACCUCAUUGAACCUCAGUUGCCUCAUCUAAUCAUAAUUAAUUUGCAGGGUUUCUCUGAGGAUAUUUGUCAAGUGUAUGUCAUAAGCACUCUAUAAAUCAUAGCUAUCAUUGUUAGUUUUUGGGAUACUCACCAUGUGACAGAGACAACAGCACGCCCUGGUGGCUGGGAGGACUGCAUGGAUCCAUCCUCAACCUGGAGUUGUGCUCUUCUGAAGAAAUCCUACUCGGAUGGAUAUAAUACAACCUGCUAAGUGUCCUAGCACUUAUCAGGUUGUAUUAUCAUUGUCCGUGUCUAUGGCUCUCGUCUACCAGACUCUAAAUUCCUUACAGGCAAGGACAGUGCCUUAUUCAUCUUUGUAUUCGGUGCCUAAUCCCGUGCACAUUGUAGGCCUCAUUAAAUGUUUGUUGAAUGAAAAACUGAAUCAUCAACAGACAUUAAUUGGGCGCCUGCUCUGUGAUCUCCAUGGGCUCAGCUUUUUCCCGCCAGUUGCCUACAACGUCCAAGCUGUCUUCAAUAUGCUUUCUCCUGAAGCUUACUCCUGUCUUCUAAUUCUUUUGCUGAGGACUUUUCUGUGUAGUGCAAGGAAAGCAAAUAUAUUUACUUCAUCUCAAGUACCAUCUCCAACUGAUUGAGAGUACCUGCCUUGAUUGUGUUUAUAAAAAGGAUUCUGAAGCCAGGUCUCAGUUCAGUGUGAAAGAGCGUUAUGACUAAUAAGCAGUGUUUGCCAAGGGUGGGGGAGGGGGGCAUAACAGCACAAGGGCCAUAUCUGUGUCUUAUUUGAUACUAUGUUUUCCGUGAAAUACUCUGUUUCUAUGCCUGCAUUUUAGUCUUGGCUACUUGCAGAUGUUGCAUGGCUGCCGCUGCCGCUGCCCCUACUACAGUUGCUGCUGGUUGCUCCCUGGGUAGGACCAAAGUGAUCAUUGAUCAGAAACUUCAUCCUCACAGUCUGGGGUUUGCUCCUGUGGCUGGUAUUCACAGUUUCCCCUUUCAACUUUACCUCAGCUAUCCCCUUACCUACCACACUGACAGGUAGGCUUCCCCUUUCCGUUCACCACCCAAAAGGCUCAUAUUUCUUUUCUUAUUUCGUAUGAUUAAUUGUACUUGUUCCAUGAGAAGCCUUCUUUCUGUUAGAAGAUGUGACAACUAGAAUACAAGUUAAACGAUUCCAUCAGGGCACUACAGUGAGUCAUAUAAGCUUCCCCUUUACUGUGGGAGAAAAUUGCAGACUUUAGGGCAGGAAGAACUGAGAAGGGAUGUGCGUUGUAGAUGUGGGAGAGGAAGACGAUAGCAGAUGGAAUAAGAUCCUGGGAAACGAUGUAGGUUGGGAGGGUGAAACCUGUGCCUCUAAAAUAGGAAUGGAGGGUUGAUAGCCUUGGUUGAAAGGAGUUUACCUCCUCACUGGAGCGUAGGGAUAGGAGUCAGGAAGAGUAGCUGAGAGGGUUGUUGAAGAUUUUUAAUUGCUGAGGUGAGUGAUGGAGAGGAAGCUGACCCGGGACAGGAUUAUGGAGACAAACCAGAGUCUAAGGACUAUUCGGGCCAAAAGGCUGGAGUGGGGCCUUUUGUUAUGUUAAAGUGGGAUACUAUCAUAUUAAAUGAUAGAUCAUACAUUCAGUUAAAGUGAGAAGCCAGUUUGAAACAUGAUUAGAAACUCAGGAAAUUAUAAAGUGGUCUUAGGCCACUGUCACAAGUAAAUUUGAUUGCCUAGGACCAGCCUUCAUUGACUGAGGAGUGGACAGCUAGCAAGAGAAGGGUUACACAGAAAUGAAUUUGGAAAUCCAGGCUAUAUGUGGAAGGCAGUUAGGUCAGAAGUGAGCUCAAAAGUCUGAAUACAAACAGGACUUGGUGUGAUCAAGAUGGGUGUGGAAUAGUUGGAAAAUUGCAAUAAUAGGACCUGUAAUCAGAGAGUAGAUUUUUAGAGAUUUCAAAACUGGAGUGGUCAAGAUACUUGUGAAACUGGGAUGUCAGAUAGUCAGCUACAUAAAUACUGAAGUGAGCCAGGAUUAUAGCAGAAGCUGGACUGGGAACAAACACUGGGGGCCAGAUAGAAUAGGCUUUGGUGCCUGAGGAGUGGUUAGAGCUUGGCUCAUGGCAGUGGUGCAGGUGCAAAAGAGGAAAGGAUGUGGCGGGAUAGUAGUAGGAGCCGCAAAAGACUGGCAGGGAUUAUUAGAAGUUACCCAAAAAAAAUUUAAUUUGCACGUUGCACUGUGGUGUUGGCUUGCAGAAGGCCCAGCUAAAACGAUCCCCUCAUUUACUGAGCUCCUGCUCUCUCCCUGGCACCUUGCUCUGUACUCUCCAUUUACCCUCUUUGGGUCUAUCACAUACCAGGUGUGUGAGAGAAUGAGCAGCGGUCCCAAGCAAGGACAGCUAGGGUAGCUGCUGGCCCUCAGAACUGAUGGAAUGCUGUGGCCACCUCAGCAGACUGGGCAGCUUGAAGUGGCAUAAAAAGAUUUCCUUAGGAUCAGAAUUUUCCCUUGACAUUGACCUAACUUUAUUACAUGGUACAAGCUCGUGUUAGCUAUUCCAUAAUGUACUCUGGCUUCCAAGCCUCUGAGUUGGGGAGUAUGCUGGUACUGUCCUUUAAAAAACAAAAACAGGCACAACACUUGAAAAAACACACAUAUUGAUUAACUCUUAAAUAAGACAGUCUGGUUAUCUAUUUGAGCUUUUAAGAUAAAGGAUAGAUCAAAGAAAGCUCACAUCGAUGGGUGAAUAACAAAACCACUUUGGAAAACCACUCUGAGGUUAGGAUUGUCCAGUUUAGGGGACUUACUAUAGAGAACCGCUGUGCUGUUGGGAAGGAGGGCUAGAAAUUGAGGCAGAAAAUGUCCCUUAGGACCCAGAAGGUCAAGUUUAGGAGAAGAGAGUCUCUCUGUGAACCCUGUGACAUUGCAUGUAGUCAUUUUUCUUCAGUUACAGUCUUCACAUGAGUUAUGAAAUUUCAAUGAAGGUUUAGAGCCACUGUGAUAGAGAGACCAGGCCCUCAGACAGCCCAUCCCCUCCUUUGGGGGCUGCUUUAUAUUUAUUCCUCAGGAGGAUCUGGUAGAAGACUUCGUGGGGGGAGAAGAAAAGGCAAGAAGCGGACAAGGACUACAGCCUGUCUUCAUCUCAACUUCACAAAGCAUGGUUCAGCAGAGGGAUCAUCCUCUUGAGACUCUCCAGACCACAGGUUGCUCCUUUCAGUUGCAUGCUUAGCCCUCUCAGGUGUUCAUCUGCAGAAUGAGUCCAGUACUUGAAGAAGUAAGAGGACAACAGGCAUCAGGGGACAACAGUGUGGUCUUCUAACUGAAGAUGGCAACAGAAAAGAUCAUGGACUUGGCUGGUUUGGGCUGGGCUUAUUUGCUGUUUCAGAAUUUAAAAAAUACUUUUUUUUUUCUUGACAGUAAAAGUAACAGAUGAUCAUUGUUGAAAAAGGUAUAAAUAAAAAAAUCAAGAACACCUGUAAUCUUACAACCCAGAAAACAACUCAACAUUUGAGUGUUUCCUUUUGCCCUUUUAAAAAAGAAUCUCUGUAACACAGUUUUUCACAUUUUUAUUUUAAUUUCAGUUAGUAAACCUGCAGUGUUCUGUUCAUUUCGGAUGUACAAUUUAAAAACAAAAUUGACAUCAUAUUGCAUGUUUUCCAUUUUUCUUUAUUUGAAAAUAACGUAUUUCCAUGUCAUUACCAUUCUUUGAAAACACAGUAUUGGUACAUGGUAUUUCAUAGGGAUCUAACAAAAUUUAGGUAGAUAAUUGAAUGCUGCUGGACAUUUUGCAUAUUACCAAUUUUGCCUAUAAAAUGUAAUAAACAUUGUAUAUUAA
Molecule: long non-coding RNA, 5185 nt
Organism: Mustela lutreola (European mink)
Lineage: Eukaryota; Metazoa; Chordata; Mammalia; Carnivora; Mustelidae
Exons: 10
Source: RefSeq, a predicted model, not a curated record